This 253-nucleotide ribosomal RNA is filed under the name uncultured bacterium. RNAcentral's name for it is "partial 16S ribosomal RNA". It matches the Rfam family "Bacterial small subunit ribosomal RNA", at positions 524 to 776 of the family's 1533-position model. The record is from RNAcentral.
UACGUAGGGUGCAGGCGUUAAUCGGAAUUACUGGGCGUAAAGCGUGCGCAGGCGGUUUCUUAAGUCAGAUGUGAAAGCCCCGGGCUUAACCUGGGAACUGCGUUUGAAACUGGGAGACUUGAGUGUGGCAGAGGGGGGUGGAAUUCCACGUGUAGCAGUGAAAUGCGUAGAUAUGUGGAGGAACACCGAUGGCGAAGGCAGCCCCCUGGGUUAACACUGACGCUCAUGCACGAAAGCGUGGGGAGCAAAUAGG